RNAcentral lists this small nucleolar RNA (92 nucleotides) under Triticum aestivum (bread wheat). Its description in RNAcentral is "Small nucleolar RNA Z221/R21b". It matches the Rfam family "Small nucleolar RNA Z221/R21b". From Rfam's summary of the family: Z221 is a member of the C/D class of snoRNA which contain the C (UGAUGA) and D (CUGA) box motifs. Most of the members of the box C/D family function in directing site-specific 2'-O-methylation of substrate RNAs. Lineage: Eukaryota; Viridiplantae; Streptophyta; Magnoliopsida; Poales; Poaceae. RNAcentral also lists the same sequence under 1 other name. The record is from Rfam by way of RNAcentral.
AGGCUACGAUGAGAAAAGUCAUUGACCACUCUGAAGAGAUUUAUCUCUUUGUGAUGAUAAACUAACUUUACAACCCAUUGUAAAUCCAGCCA